GUGCACUUUAUAUGUUGGUUUUCUUUGUACUUUUUGGGUGUUUGAGACACUUGUUAGUGUGAUAGAAUUUAUCUUGAUUCCAAGGCUCAAGCUUAUAAGUGUCAUAUAAUGAUAUCCUAUAUUAAAAUUGGCUAACUUGGACUCAGGAAAUGCUUGAUGCUUAAACAACACUUAAGACCAUAUAUGUCUAAGUUCCGGGAGCAGAGAGCCCCCACCUAAGAUGUCUCUGCUCUAAUCAUUUUGUUCUCUCUUGCCUUGAAACUUAUUUGUUAUAUGUAC
Pelobates cultripes (western spadefoot toad) is the source of this 279-nucleotide non-coding RNA. Lineage: Eukaryota; Metazoa; Chordata; Amphibia; Anura; Pelobatidae. The record is from the annotation of a GenBank genome assembly.